UUGUCAAAGCCUCUAACAAAGCUCUACUGAGCAGCUGUAACCUCUCAGAGAGAAGCUGUGAAGCUCUGUCCUCAGUUCUCAGCUCCCAGUCCUCUAGUCUGAGACACCUGGACCUGAGUAACAAUGACCUGCGGGAUUCAUGGGUGAAGCUCCUGUCUGCUGGACUGAAGAGUCCACACUGUACCCUGGAGACUCUCAGACUGAGCAGCUGUAACCUCUCAGAGAGAAGCUGUGAAGCUCUAUCCUCAGUUCUCAGCU
Toxotes jaculatrix (banded archerfish) is the source of this 258-nucleotide long non-coding RNA. RefSeq lists it as uncharacterized. The transcript is spliced from 3 exons. Lineage: Eukaryota; Metazoa; Chordata; Actinopteri; Toxotidae. The record is from RefSeq and is a predicted model, not a curated record.